UUGGGGCAAAUUCGGGAAAUUUCGGAGAAUUUGGGGCGGAUUUUCAGGUCCAGGGGGGAAAAUGGGGACAGAUUUGGAGAUCUGGGGGCAAACCUGGGGAAGCUCGGGGCUGAUUUGGGGGUGGGGGCAGAUUUGAGGUGUUUCAGGACAGAUCUGGGGGUCCCAGGCUCCCAUCCUCCACCCCUUCCACGUGAAAAUCGCAAUAAUUUCCGAUUUCACCCAAAUCCGUUCCCAGCCUGGGGCAGCCUCACUCCCCCGCCCCCUCCCCGAGCUCGGAGCUUUGCGUGUAAAAAACCCAAUUUUUGCGCAAUGGCUGAAAAGUUCCAUUUCCUGGGGCCGGCCGGCGCUUCCUUCCCGCGCCCGCGCCCCGGCCCGGCUGCCCCGGCCGCUCCCGGCUGAUUCCUCCGUCCCGGGGAGCUCCCGGAGCGGGAGGAGGAUGAAGAUGAGGAUGAGGAUGAGGAUGAGGAUGAGGAUGGGGCUCCUUCUCCUCGUGGCUGCGGCCUCGUGCUUGAGCCAGACUGGGCACGAGCCCGGCGAGGAUUCCCGGGGUUCCCGCCGCCGUUCCGGUACCGCCGCCGCCCCGCGCCUCCUCCCGGCGCCGCUGCUGCUCCGGCUGCCCCCGGAGCCGGGCCCGCCCCGGAUCCGCUGCCUGGCCCCGCGGCGCUUCGCCGGCAGCACCUUCGAGCUGCUGCGGGGGCUCCCGGCGGCGCCGCUGCGGAGCCUCCCGGCCGCUCCCGAGCGCCACUGGGCCGAGUUCGCCCUGCCCGGGGCCGCCGGCUGCUUCCGCUGCCGGUACCGGAGCCACAACGGCAGCGCCUGGCUGGAGUCGGAGCUGAGCCCCGGCACCGGCGGCUCCGAUUUGGGCGAUGCCGAGUGUCAGCCGAGCACGGGCACCGGCACCACCGCGGCACCCGCAGCCACGGCCGGGACCCCGCGGAACGGCACCGGGACCCCGCGGAACGGCACCGGGACCCCGCGGAACGGCACCGAUCCUCCCUGGGUCCUCCCGGUCUCGGUCGGUGUCGCCUUCCCGGGGCUGCUGCUGCUGCUGGGGGCUGCGACCGCGGCCGGGCGAGGCGUCCGGCGGCGGCGCGCACAGAGCCCCACGGUGCCGGCCCCGAGCUUCCCCUUGGCCCCCGCGCCGACGCCGCCGUGCCCGUGAGGGGUCCCGGGAGUCCCGGUGAGGACACGGAGCCGGGAGCGCGUCCUGGUGUCCCCACGGAUCGAGGCUGGCCCUGGAUCCGGUCACCGGGAGCCCUCCGGGAGGAACCCCUCGCCCCCUCCGGUGCUGCCGGGGCUCCCCCGGACUCUCGGCUGCCAAUAAAGGUGUUCGUCUCCAGCGCUGCCGCAUUCCCGGUGUCCCAUUCCCAUUCCCGUUCCCAUUCCCGUUCCCGGUGUCCCGUUCCCAUUCCCGUUCCCGGUGUCCCGUUCCCGUUCCCCGUUCCCGGUGCCCGUUCCCGUUCCCGGUGCCCGUUCCCGUUGCCCUCCCAUCCGCCAGGGGGCGCCACCGCCCCCUCGCGCCGCCGGGAUUUGGGGGCGUGUCCAUCCCGGGGUGGGCGUGUCCACCGCGGGG
Camarhynchus parvulus is the source of this 1573-nucleotide long non-coding RNA. The record is from Ensembl. NCBI's taxonomy places the organism in Eukaryota, Metazoa, Chordata, Aves, Passeriformes, Thraupidae.